Centruroides sculpturatus (bark scorpion) is the source of this 234-nucleotide long non-coding RNA. RefSeq lists it as uncharacterized. The transcript is spliced from 2 exons. NCBI's taxonomy places the organism in Eukaryota, Metazoa, Arthropoda, Arachnida, Scorpiones, Buthidae. The record is from RefSeq and is a predicted model, not a curated record.
UAUAUUUUUGCAACGACACAGUUUAACUUAACAAAUGUUUAUAAAAAUUUAUAUAAAUUAUUUUGUUCCUAAGAAAUGAAGAAUUUGCUAAAGAACGUAACUCUUGCAGUUCUUACAACAGAGAUUCCUGGACUUCUUCAAUUGGAUGAAAAUAAAGAGAAGUUUGUAAACAUAGGAAUUAUGUCAAGAAUCUUUCUUGUUCUUGUCGAAUAUCUCGGAUUCAAGUAAGAUAUU